Molecule: ribosomal RNA, 550 nt
Filed under: uncultured bacterium
Lineage: Bacteria
Description: bacterial SSU rRNA
Rfam family: Bacterial small subunit ribosomal RNA
Source: RNAcentral
UAGGGANUCUUCGGCAAUGGGGGCAACCCUGACCGAGCAACGCCGCGUGAGUGAAGAAGGUUUUCGGAUCGUAAAGCUCUGUUGUAAGAGAAGAACGAGUGUGAGAGUGGAAAGUUCACACUGUGACGGUAACUUACCAGAAAGGGACGGCUAACUACGUGCCAGCAGCCGCGGUAAUACGUAGGUCCCGAGCGUUAUCCGGAUUUAUUGGGCGUAAAGCGAGCGCAGGCGGUUAGAUAAGUCUGAAGUUAAAGGCUGUGGCUUAACCAUAGUACGCUUUGGAAACUGUUUAACUUGAGUGCAGAAGGGGAGAGUGGAAUUCCAUGUGUAGCGGUGAAAUGCGUAGAUAUAUGGAGGAACACCGGUGGCGAAAGCGGCUCUCUGGUCUGUAACUGACGCUGAGGCUCGAAAGCGUGGGGAGCAAACAGGAUUAGAUACCCUGGUAGUCCACGCCGUAAACGAUGAGUGCUAGGUGUUGGGUCCUUUCCGGGACUCAGUGCCGCAGUUAACGCAUUAAGCACUCCGCCUGGGGAGUACGACCGCAAGGUUG